Molecule: RNA transcript, 3200 nt
Organism: Vespula vulgaris
Lineage: Eukaryota; Metazoa; Arthropoda; Insecta; Hymenoptera; Vespidae
Gene name: RWD domain-containing protein 4
Exons: 9
Source: RefSeq, a predicted model, not a curated record
AUUUCUGCGAAGAAAUAGACGAUUGUCUGCCAGCUUGCAACUAUAUUCGUGCAAUGAUACCUCAGAUUUUCUGAUCCAUUCGAAAUGCAAGAAAACGUGUUUCGUAAUCCUCAUACGGUAAAAACUACGAUAAUUCGUACAAGAAUUUUAACAAGAGAUUAGGACAAAUGAUUUUACGGUAAAAAUAAGAAAAUAUUUCGACCGUUCGUGUUUAUUGGAUUUAGUUUUUAAGAUGUUGUUAAAUAUUGCCUUCGUUCAUUGAUGUUAACGAGAAGGAAUAUAUUAGAUCGACCGUGCAAAUUACCACGUUAGUUUCGUUUUGUAUUCCGAGGACUAAAGAUCGAGAUACUCUCUUUCGUUAUCUUAUAUGUAAAUCCAAUAAUUUGAUAAUUAUUUAAUCAAUGUACAAUGUAUGUUAUUUUUAUGAAAAUCGAAUCAUUAGUUCGUUUUCACGCUAUCUAUGAAAUAAAAUUGUCAGUAUUACAUUUAUUCACAGUUUCUCCUAUAAAAGAAAAAUUUUUGUUUAUAUUUGAUCAUUGUGUAGUAAUAAUAUAUAACGUAGUAUACAAGGUCGUUCCCUGCUUGCGUUUGUAGUUCGUAUAUUGUCCGUAUACGUCGUUGACGUCGCACACAUUUCGUAAUAUCUUUUAAGAAUGACACCAUCUAUAUAAAAUGGAGUUUUGUUGAAGUUUAUUUCUAACCUAAUUAAAACGCAUGAUCGAACGUUGAGAUAUAAAAGUGUAAAAUUAUAAGGAAUAAAGUAGUUGGAAAAAGGAAAUGAGUGAUGUCGAACUACAAGAGGAAGAAAGAGAAGUGCUACAUUCUAUUUAUGAAGGGGAUCCAGCAUUUAAUCAGCUAACACCUACUACUUUUCAAUACAAGUAUGGAGAAGAUAAUGACAUAAAGUCAUUCCUAUUGGAAAUUUCAUGGAGUGCGACAUAUCCAUCUGAAAGGCCAAACAUCAAUAUGAAUACAUUUUACAAUAAGCACAUUGUACAAGAGGUAAAGGAUGAAGUAGUGAAACAGUUAGAAGCGGAAGCAGAUCAAUGGUUAGGUAGUGCCAUGACAUAUACAUUGUUCCAAUAUGUUCAAGAGCAUCUUACAGAAUUGUUAUCUAUGCAACCAGAUUCUGUUGCCGAAAUAAAUUCACAAACCAGUAAACUUAAAAUAUCGAAUGAGAAUCAACAGGCGGAAGAAACUGUAAAAAGGCCAAAGAAAGAACAACUAAGCAAAGCUCAAAAACGUAGGCAAUGGAAUAAAGCGGAUGGAAAAGGAGAAAGACCACGAGGAUGGGAUUGGGUUGAUAUAGUGAAACAUUUAUCACAAACUGGUCCAAAACAAGAACAAGAGUCUUAGUUCAAAUUUUGCAAGACUUUACUGUACAGAUUUAAAAAAGAAAACCUGAUGUUGCGUUAAUGCAGCUCUGGUUGCACCACCAGCCACACCAACAAUAGAUUUCAUUGCGGUUGAAGCACACAAUACGGCCAUUGAAUGAGCUGAGAAAUAAGUUCAAGAUCCUACGAAAUCCGAGAAGCAGAAGAUAAAUCAAAGUUCCAAACAAGGGAAUAUAAAUAAGAACAAAAAGGGUGAAAAUGUGGGGAAAUUAUCUGAACAUAGAAAGAAAUCAAAUUUAUCCUCAGACAUCGGAAGUGCGGAAACACGUGGAAAAAUCCGAAAACAAUCAACGAAUGUUCGUGUGUCAGGGAACUCAGACCGAACAAAAAAGAAGUAACAAUCUUCUAACGAAAGAAGGAAAAUUUAAACACGACAUUUUCGAGAAAGUAUUGAAACGUUUAGGUUAUUGCAUUUUGGACGAUAAAACUAUAAAAUUUAUUGGUCGUUACUCGAAUGAUAAAACGAGAUAUAGUACUGUACGUAAAGUGAAGAGGUCGCCUUUUAUCACUGACAAAGGACCGAAGACCGACGAAAUUUUUUCUUCUAUUAAUAAAGUGAUUAUCUGUAAAGAUUUUUCAACGAACGAAGAUGACAAUUCAAAUUCGGGUAGUAGUAUGGCUACCAUUUACAAGAUUAUCAAGAAAUUCAAUGGGAUUGAUAAAGUAUCAAAGAUCUUUAAGAUGUCCUUGAAGGAAAAAGGUUUCUCCGAUACCUUACGACGUAACAAUCGAUCUACAAAGGCAGAAGAUAAUUUAAAUAAUCCACUGUACUUAACUCUCGAUAAGAAUUUACGAUCGAAAUCGCUCGAAGCGAUUAAAACGAAAUCGUCUCCUAGGAAGAAACAUCCUCUUAAAUUUCUUCGUAAAAUUUGUAUCUGUAUAAAUCUCUAAAGAAUAUGAUCGAAGAGAUAUAUCGAAGUGUGCGAUUGAUUUAUUGAUCGACGAAAAAGAAAAAAGAAAUCAAAAUUUCUCGGGUCGAUCGAUAAAUUCGAGAGCGCCAUCUAGAAAAGCGAUGGUCGUACGAACUACAAAAGUGUAUCCCUGACGAUAGGCUAUAUCCAUACAUGCCUGUACGUAUGGAAAACUUGUGCACGAGUGCAUUUACACGCAGGUAUUAGGUUAGAGUUGGAUAUAGGAGUUGAAACGAAGAGGAUGUAGUUGAACGCACUGGAAUAGCGCGAAUAAACGAUCGAGACGAGAAGUUAGAGGUUCGAAUCCAGCGUCGUUAUCCCCUCCGUUCGUUCCGACCCUCUCGUUUUGCAGUCAACGACUCCACGGAUGGUGCUGCACUUGCGUGCACACUCGUGGAUCGAGGACUACGACGGCGUUGUGCAUACAGAGACGCAAUAGAAAGACACUAGUUGCUACUCCAGAACACUGGGGAGUUAUUGCUAACGUAACAGGAUCACACACACGCACGUACUUACUAAGAGGAUCGUGUACAACAAGAUGAGGAAAAAUAAGAGGAAAUAAAAAUAAUGGAGACUGGCUAGGGACCACUAAAGACCCCGUAGUAGCUAUCCGUAUACUUAGCAAGAUCGUUUUCUUUCAACACUCAGCCUCGAUUCUUUAUAUCCUGUCCUCCUUCAUCCGGUCGAUCUUCAUUUUAGGAACAAGAAGCCUUGGAAGUAUUCAAGUUCCUCUUUUACCCUUUUUGAAAAAUAUCGAUAGAAAUAGCGCGAUGGUCGUUUAAAAUGGAAAAAAAGCGAAACAAAAAAAGAGCAUAAAAACAAAAAAAAAGAAGCAAAGGAAAAAAAAACAAUACAGAAAGAUUGGAAAGGAAUUUCAAUCCCCUUUUACCUACGA